Long non-coding RNA from Chinchilla lanigera (long-tailed chinchilla), 430 nucleotides. RefSeq lists it as uncharacterized. Lineage: Eukaryota; Metazoa; Chordata; Mammalia; Rodentia; Chinchillidae. The record is from RefSeq and is a predicted model, not a curated record. The transcript is spliced from 3 exons.
AGAACCUCGGGGGAAGCCAACCGUCAAGGAAAUCUGGAAAAUCUACUUCCUCCAGUGUCCGUGAAAACAUGAACAUACGACUUGCCUAUCACUGUGUACUCAGAGCGUGACACCUUUUGAACAAAGACUUCUGAAGACCCUUGGAAAGAGGCAUGGCCAGCAUCUAUUUCUGUAUCUGCCCUGGGAUUCUACAGAUAUUCUUUGUAACAAAUGUUACAGAAUUAGGUGCCCUGAAAUGCCUGUUUUUAAUUUACAUAAAUAACAACCAUUUUCCUCAAUGUCAUGCUGGUCCUCAUUAAGCAAAUGCAAGCAUUAGUGAUAGUGAAACCCUGUCUGUCAGCUGUUCAAAGUUCACUUUUAGAAAAGAGGGACAAAGGACCCUUAAGAACUUUAAAUUUACUAACAACUUCAUCAUUACUUCAUUCUGUCA